AUUCCAUCUCUACGUGCCCAGAGCUUCAAAUACAACCCUCCCAUCACAGUCAGACGGGCACAAAACUUCAACCAGCCGUUUCUCUGCCUGGAAGCGGCGAACAUGUAACCUGGACGGAAUCUUGCUCUGUUGCCCAGGCUGGAGUGCAGUGGUGUGAUCUCGGCUCACUACAACCUCCAUCUCCAGGAUUCAAGCGAUUCUCCUGACUCUCAGCCUCCUGAGUAGCUGGGAUUACAGGCACGAGAGAAGAUGAAGGGGAAAGGAGCGAACUCCAGAGUCUUAGAGAGGCAGUACGACGGGUUCUCGCACCAACCAGCACUUUCUGUGUGGAGUCUCACCUCUUGUAACCCUGAGUGCAAAAAUACCAGGAACAAGCUGACUUCCCACCUGGCAGAACAGAAUGCUAAACAGGCCGACCUCUUUAGGAAUCUGGUGAAAGCUACAAACCCUCUCUCUAGAAAAGCACACACAAACAUAACGUCUUGCAAUUCACUUUCAAGAGCCCCAGGUUCCCAUAAAGAGACUCAAGAACCUUGAUAGUAGAGAACAAGUUCCU
Long non-coding RNA from Homo sapiens (human), 556 nucleotides. RefSeq annotates it as CACNG2 divergent transcript. Lineage: Eukaryota; Metazoa; Chordata; Mammalia; Primates; Hominidae. The transcript has 4 exons. The record is from RefSeq and is marked validated.